CAAGUGGAACAGGCUGCCUGAUGGCGGCCACGCCCACCUCUUAAAAUGUACUUGGCAACGAGAUCUAUGCCAAUAUGACACCUGUCUGCGUAGGAAAUUCAUGACGGGCCAGAAGGGCAGGCUUUGGAGGAUCCCAGUAGUGGAGUUGUGACUGGUCUCCUCAGGAGUCUCUCCCAGAAAGGCUCAGGACUCUCUCUCUCUUGGACUACUUGUCUCAAAUUGAAGGGAGCAAGUAAGUGGUGUCCUGUGUGGAUCAAGGAUUCCUCCUGAUAAGGGUAUUUGCGGUACAAUGAUAAAUUCCAUCUUUCCCAGAACGAUAUGAGGAUCAAUGAUGCAGACUGCUGGGUUCGAUGAAGCUGGGCAUUUAUAACUAGAUUCAUUAAGGAAUACAAAGAAAAUAUUUAAAGGGAUCAAUAAUGGUGUCUUCUGGUUGCAGAAUGCGAAGUCUGUGGUUUAUCAUUAUAAUCAGUUUCUCACCGAAUACAGAAGACUUGUUGCUGUUGAUGCUCUGAGAUGGCUUACCUUGUAAAGACCGUCAUUGCUCGGCCUGGUGACCUUAGCUAAGCUUCUGGAGUUCAUUGGAGAUGGAAAGAACAGGCUACAACAAGUUUUUCUGUGACCCACACCCAGGCACACACUUGUAAAUAAAUACACCCUCACAUGCA
RNAcentral lists this long non-coding RNA (665 nucleotides) under Meriones unguiculatus (Mongolian gerbil). RNAcentral describes it as "lncRNA (ENSMUGG00000025892.1)". The record is from RNAcentral. Lineage: Eukaryota; Metazoa; Chordata; Mammalia; Rodentia; Muridae.